Podarcis muralis (Common wall lizard) is the source of this 4710-nucleotide RNA transcript. It is a transcript of the gene named TBC1 domain family member 7, with no coding region annotated. NCBI's taxonomy places the organism in Eukaryota, Metazoa, Chordata, Lepidosauria, Squamata, Lacertidae. The record is from RefSeq and is a predicted model, not a curated record.
CGGCGGCUGCGCGGGCCGAGCCGGGCGGAGCUCCCUCGCGCCGAGUCGUCGUUGCCCCUUGGCCGGUCGCGGCGGCCCUGGCAGAGAGCGAGCUCCGCGCUGCUCACCGGCCACUUCUGCACAGACUGAAACAUGGCUGAGGAUCCUCAGAGAAAUUUCCGAUCGGUGUAUUAUGAAAAAGUAGGAUUUCGUGGUGUUGAAGAAAAGAAAUCACUGGAAAUUCUUCUGAAAGAUGAUCGGCUUGAUAUUGAGAAGCUCUGCACAUUCAGUCAGAGGUUUCCUCUCCCAUCCAUGUAUCGGAUCCUUGUGUGGAAGGUGCUUCUAGGAAUUCUUCCGCCUCACCAUGAAUCUCACGGGUUUGUGAUGCGAUGCCGAAAGGAGCAGUAUAAGGACGUGCACCAUGCGCUCCGAGUAAUUCGCUUUAUCAAGGAUUCUACCCCACAGGUUGAAGUUUUCCUCCGAGUAUACCAGCUGGAGUCGGGAAAGCUUCCUCGGAAUCCAUCUCUCUCUUCGGAAGCCGAGGACGAGGUAUUCCUUGCCAUUGCUAAAGCUAUGGAAGAAAUGGUAGAAGAUCACAUUGAUUGUUAUUGGCUCAUCAGUAGCUUUGUGAACCAGUUGAACAAUAAGUACAAGGAUUCAAUACCACAGCUGCCAAAACUUUUGGAACAGUACCUGAGCCUUGAGGACAGCGGACUCUUAACGCAUCUGAAGUUGUGUUCAGCAAUGGACCAUCUUCCUUACAAUCUUUGGUUUAGAAAGUGUUUUGCGGGUUGUCUACCUGAAUCCAGCUUACAAAGGGUUUGGGACAAAGUUAUUAGCGGCUCCUGCAAAAUUCUGGUCUUCGUUGCUGUUGAGAUUUUAUUAACCUUUAAAAUGAAGUUGAUGGCCUUGAAUAGCGCAGGAAAGAUUCAACAGUUUUUGGAAAAUAUACCUCAAGAUAACACGGAUGCAAUAGUGAGCAAAGCGAUUGAGCUGUGGCACAAACAUUGUGGGACCCCUGCACAUUCAGUCUGAGACCAUGCUGCCCACAGAUCCACCCAGCAUGUGAAACCAUCACCAGCCAACCUGGGAGAUCCCUCCAAUCCUGUGAGACUCAAGUUGCUGUUUAGUGGCCUGGAAACCUAAACAGAAAGGAAGGCAGCAUAUUCGAGGGACACUGAGCUUUUGGAACAGGUGUUUUGCACACGCAAGCCUGCUAGGAACCUGCCUGCCUGCAGAAAACAAGCAAAUCCAAUGUUCCAUGCAAUCGCAAGUAAAGGAAUCUGCUAAGGGUGGACCCAUCUAUUUCCAAAUGUACCAGUGGGCACAACAGCAACACAGUACGUAGUCACUCCCAGAUCAGCUCAAUGGUAUCUUAAUGUAGGGCAAGGGGGCAUCUUCAAAGCAGUGCCACUGUACUAGCUCUGGAAGAUGCUCCUUUGCAUGUGGAUAACAUUGGGCUGAGCGCUAGGUCUUGAAAAGCUACAAGACUUGUAUCGUGAAUAGGCUCCCAACUGCAUGUGUUAAGUGCUAAGCUGAUAGCCCAGCCCACUUGGAAAUUAAUGUUGGCAGAAAUGUGGGAAAAGACUCAGCAUACUUCUUUAACCAAUUGCAUCACAAAUCACAGUAAAACCAGAAUAAGUGGUUUUACUUGCACAGAAUUUGGCAAUCUUAUUGUUAGGAGGAAAUGUUCUACCUUGUCUGGUUUGUAACCGUAGCCAUAAUUUGUAUUUUUAACUGGAAGGCACACAGGAGAUAAACCAGCAGGUAAAUCGACCCCUUGUGCGCCCUCCAAGCCACUCAGUAAAGAAUGCUGAGCCUUGUCCUGUGCUUCAAGGAAGAAAACAGACCCAUAACCACACCUUGUGAAUCCCCUGGCAUGCUACCACACAACUGUUGAUAAAUGCAAGGUACUGAGGAUCUGUAAUAUGUAAAAGCUUUUCACAGCAUUGUGCCCACCCACUAGCUGUGGUGCCCAGUGAUGGUGGGGAAUGCCUUUUAGCCUCCUCAGCUAAAAAAGAAAAAAAAGUGCAUCGCUAAACAGGCUUGUUUUUAUUUGACUCGGGCUGAGGAGGAGAGAGGGCCUUUUCCAUGGGGUGAGGAGAAAAUGCAGGUUACCAAUGUUCUGUUCAAAAAGAAAAGUUAUGUUGCCCUAUACAAACUUCUUAACAGCAGUGGGAAAGUGUGAGAAGUGAACUUUGCUUGGGAGAGGCAUGCUCAGGGCUCAGCUGCUGAAAGAGAGUGGGGGUUCCUUACCAGGAGGCAUCAAACUGGUGGGCUUAGCCAAAGUGCUUUCAAAGACAGGGAUCUGGAACACUAUCCAAUGUGCAAGGGUCAUCCUAUUAAGAGAAGAGCCAAUGCCUUAAUAACAAAACAAAACAAAAAACCCCUCCACAAAUCCAAUCCAAAUGCUUUGGUUCUCAGUAUCAUGCUGGGACAUUCUUGACAACAUAUUUUGUUAUUUACACCAUGUAGUGUUCUACACAACAGAAAUCCCAGCUCUUAAAAAAUAAACGUAUCCAUGCGCACAGAGCAAAAUUGACCCUACAAUGAUCUUGAGCUCAUUUCUUCUCUGCAUUGCACACCUUUACGGAACCUGCAGCAUCUAAGUAAAGUUGGCGUGCUGUAUCAAUUUGGUUAACUGGCAGAGCUGCUCUGCCAUCCAGCCUCUUUAUGCAGGUGUAAAUGAAAGCAGGAAGUUACCAAGCAGGGCAAAAGGCAUCCUGACUCGUUCUGUCCGUAAAGGUAAUAAGCAUGUUACUGAAUAUCCCUGUAAUAAUCGGCAACAAUUUCAAAACAUCACUUUUUGCAGCAAGGGGGGGGGGGGGUCACUUGAAUGAAAGAGAUGGGUGACAAGGAAUCUUCUGGGUGUUUCCCUCACAAAACAAAUGGGUGACAGCCAGCCAGCCAGCCAAGAGAUCCUCCAGGGAUGAUUCUUGUGAAGUGUCAAAGAUAGGUAGGUCCUCUGAGCGGGUCUUGGCCUUCCCCCGCAUCUUUCUAAGGUGCUCUCAAACAGAAAGAAGUGUUUGCUCAAAGUGUUGACCCAGAAGGAUGGCAGGCCUCGUCCCAGCUUUUGUCCAGCAGGUCUAUGCCCAACACCAACUGCCUUCAGCUUUCUUUGGAGUCAGAUGGGAGAUGCCUGAAGGAAGACGGGAUGCAUUAACGGCUGAUCUUGGAUGAGGAUGGGGAAUCCACACAGCAGAGUUUCGAAUAUGAGUGCCAACUCCUGGCCCAAUUCUUGCCAUGAGUGGCUUCGGUUGCUGAAAGUUGUGCCAACAUGUCUCAUGAUGUAGUUCUACCAAGAACAGGAAAACACAAGUUUCCCUGUCGUCGUCGUCGUCUUCCUCCUCUUCUUGGUUUUUAAAAAGGCAGUCCAGGAAAUUUACAUUGUACAUUAACAGAGAAGUGAAUGGUACCAGCACUUAUGGUUCUUUCCAGAUAUGUUUUGAAGAUGGUGGAGUGCUCAAUUUCUAUGGUCUAUGAAACCUAAAAUUAAAAAAGGGGACGGAGAAGGGAAAGAAAGUAAAUCCAAUUGUGUUUGAACGAGUCAACCAAUUUGAUUGUUGCAUUUCCCCCCCCAAACAUUCAGAAUCAUGACAGAGCUUGGGGUCUGAAAUAUCCAAUAUAAACCUAAUCCCUCAACAGCCCUGAGAACCAUGGAGAAGUGAGUUGGGAGUUGCUGUGGGAAUGAAGACCUCUCAACAAUUUAUCCUGAUAGGUAGGAUGGCACAUAGCAGCCUUCCCCAACCUAGUGCCCGCCAGACAUUUUGAAGUAAAACUACCAUCAGCAUGCUGGCUGGGGCAGACGGAAGGUGUAGUGCAAAGCAUCUGGGGGGCACCAGGUUAGGGAAGGACUGGGUAGCAGAAGGACUGCCAGGCUGUCUUCCUGGGAAGGGAAGAGGUUAAUUCUACCCAAAGCCACUGUGACUGUCCUAGCUGACUUGCACAUUCUAAGACUCCCCAAUUAUAUUCCUCCACCAGAGAGUCAUUCAUACAUAAAACUACCGUGCAACUGUUGUGUGAAUUACACUGCAAUAUGUCAUAAGAGGUUCUCGGGGUCUUUUAUUUUACACAGUAUUUCACUCUCAUAAGAGCUCCUUCAUCUGCCACAAGAGAAAAGCAACACAUACACAUAUUAUGUCUGCCCAUUACUCAUUUCCAUAAUGGCACAAAGAUCUCAUUACCUUCCUAAUGAUUUUAUAAUAGGGGCUUCUUGGGGGUUUGUGUAAGUGGGAUGACUCAACAGCAUAAAAAUCAAGAUGUGGGGGGGGGGGUAGGUACAAAUGGACAUGGAAAACGAGCCCUGGUAGUUUCCUGUCACAGGGUUAGGAGGGUAGAAUUCUGUGUUCAGAUAGAUAAGGGGUUUCCCAGUGUAACUGGUCUGUACACAAACACACUCCAUCCAACAUUCAAUCCUUUGGUCUGACCCAGCAGGACUCUUCAUAAGUUCUUAAAUUCUGUGAUACAAAGUUGAGUGGUACAUCAACAUUUUCAGAAACAGAAAUGUGGACCUUUGUUAUACAUCUGAAAAAAAUUCCAGGGCUAAACCAGCCCCCUUUGCAUAAUAAUAGUAAAUAUAUGUAUACACCAUUCCUGCCAUGUUUUUGCUUCUAUGGAAAUGAAGCUGCGAAUGUAGUUGCAAAUAUCAUUGCAUAUAGCCCAAGGCAAGCCUUACAUCUAGUAAUACUACAGAUGAAUAGUAUACAAAAAAAAUAAAAUACAUACUGACAA